This is a long non-coding RNA of Alexandromys fortis (reed vole), 1731 nucleotides long. RefSeq lists it as uncharacterized. The transcript is spliced from 4 exons. NCBI's taxonomy places the organism in Eukaryota, Metazoa, Chordata, Mammalia, Rodentia, Cricetidae. The record is from RefSeq and is a predicted model, not a curated record.
UAGGCAGAAAGCCCCAAGGUGUUCCUGCCCUAGGCAACCCUCCCAACCCUUCCUCUAAAGUGGGGGUAGGUUUCCCCCACGGUCUGUUCUCCUCUGAACCCCUCCACCUUCCUGCACCCCCAGUCUCUGGAGAAGAGCUACAAGGCAAGCACAGGCUGUGAACUCAAAUGGCUAGUUCCUACACAUCGAUGCUGAAGGGAAGUUGCAGAAGUUUCUUCAACAAAGUCACACCAGAAUUGCUUUCUACCUUGGUCCCAGAAUCUCAGCUCAAAAGUCAGAGGUCUAUAUGGAAAACAAGAACUGGGAUGCUGAGCCCUUUCUGCACUGUGAAGAUUAAUUGCAACAAUGCCUGUGAAGAAGCCGGUAGCAUGCUGACCACUGUUAAGAAUGCGGUGGCGGUUUGGAAAGCUUUUCACACCCUCGGGUUUUGUAUUUUGUCUGACCACAUUUGCCUGGGCCACAAAUUUGCAUCGGCCCAGUGGCCCUAUACAAAGAAGGUCCUGCCUCAGGAAGUCUUCUAAGAGUGGUAAAUCUUGCCUCUAUGGGAGCUUAAUAAAUCCCCAUGCCUCUCCUCUUACGUCCUCCACAGUGAGAGCAGUUGUAACCGGGGAUAGUCGGACACAUUCAUCUUCAUCAAUGAUUCCAAUCCUCCCCCUCCCCCACGUCCAGGAGAAGAAACGGCCAAGCCAUGUUUCCCUUCUCAUCUACGCCCAUUGUGUUUAUUGGCAGAUGUUCCGGAAAUUAAUAAACAGCUAGAGUGGGCAGUAAGGAAGGAGGGAAACCUAAAGAAGGAGGGAAAAGGAGCUUGUCUCAUCUGCACCCUGAAUAAUUAGACCCUGAGUGGGCUGUGUUAUUAAUAACUUUCGCAGAAGAAUGACAUUUUGUGAAUUCUGUAUCCAUUUCCAACAAGGGUGGUGUGUGGUGUUCAGACACACAGGAAGCUGCUGGAAUACAGAACAGGAUGGCCAAGCACAACAGUUCCAUUUGUGGAGACAUCCUAUUAACCAUUCCUUUAAAACAUUUAACGUUAAUAAAAGUUUAAACAAGUCCUCUAUUCAGGGACACUGGCCCUUUAAGAAAAAUCAAAAUAAAUAAAAUAAAAAUCAAAUAAAGCUAAAACCUUCUCUUUGACAUGCAGCCUAGUCACUUCCUGAAUCCCUACUGUUUUUGUUAUUGUUGCUGUUUUUAAGAUAAGUUCUUACCAUGUAGCCCAGGCUGGCCUUUAACUGACAAGCCUCCUGCCUCAGGCUUCACACCAGUGCCAGCAUUAUGUGGCCUUGUACCACCGGGCCCUGCUGCUGAUACAAAUUAAUGAAUAAAAGGUACAAAUACCCAAAUAGAAACAUAAUUAUAAAGCAUGGGCAGACAUCUCACAGAGAAGAAACAUGAAUAGUCGUUACAUGCACGAAAGGGUGAAUAUCCUCAUUUUUAGUUGAAUAAGCCAGGUACAGUGGCUGACUUUGAAAGACUGAGAUAGACCAACCAGUUGAGCUCAUAAAUCUGAAGCUAGCCUGGGCAACAUUGUGAGAUGAGAGACACACGUGUGGGAGGGUGGGUGUAGAAUGCUCAAUGUUACUGGCAGAUACUCGGUGCUCCCGAGGGGAUGGGAAAAUUGAGGCAUUCUGAUGUUUCAUAUGGGGACAUGAAUUGAACAGUGUAGCCAAAUCAAGAUUGGGACUUCAGUUGUCACUUAACAAAAUGCAGACGCCCAAGACGGUCAGCUUCUUUCCC